RNAcentral lists this transfer RNA (61 nucleotides) under Clostridium mediterraneense. It matches the Rfam family "tRNA", at positions 8 to 63 of the family's 71-position model. Rfam says of the family: Transfer RNA (tRNA) molecules are approximately 80 nucleotides in length. The record is from RNAcentral. Lineage: Bacteria; Bacillati; Bacillota; Clostridia; Eubacteriales; Clostridiaceae.
AUUAGCUCAGUUGGUUAGAGCACCUGACUCUUAAUCAGGGUGCCCUGGGUUCGAGUCCCAG